AAUAAACCUACCGAAUCCUAACUACUGAAUCAAAAUGAAAGAAAUAAAAUUGGAAUCCCUCGUCCUUUCCAACAAACCAAUCAU
RNAcentral lists this transfer RNA (84 nucleotides) under Centrosema virginianum. RNAcentral's name for it is "tRNA-Tyr". Lineage: Eukaryota; Viridiplantae; Streptophyta; Magnoliopsida; Fabales; Fabaceae. The record is from RNAcentral.